Prinia subflava (tawny-flanked prinia) is the source of this 650-nucleotide long non-coding RNA. RefSeq lists it as uncharacterized. The record is from RefSeq and is a predicted model, not a curated record. The transcript is spliced from 3 exons. NCBI's taxonomy places the organism in Eukaryota, Metazoa, Chordata, Aves, Passeriformes, Cisticolidae.
GGGCGAUGAAGUAACUGUGUGAGCACAGUAUGUGCUCCCUGAAUAGACAAAGCACUUUCCUUUGCAGGGUUGCAAGAUGACCACCGUUCACCCGCACCAUGUUUGUCCGGAGUAAACAAAGGCUAAGGCCAUGAAGUAAAGCUGAAAGCAUGUUCAGGGUUGGAGAGAGAGGAGAAUAUAUGAUGAAACAGCGAUUGUGGUAUACCCAUUGUUUGGUCACUUGAGAACUGUAUGACCUUUGAGUUUAUUGAGAAAUAUGAAUAAACAUGUGAACAUGGAGGCACAAGCAAUUCUGCAGAACUAAUCUAGAUGUAACAAAGUUCCGUGCAUUAUGACGGAGAAAGAAGAGAGUUAACAGUAAUCCUGUGAGGACAUGGCAGACACCAUUACAAGCAAAAGACCCAGGACAAUGGGUAUGAAGAAGAACACAAAAUCAGCAACAUAGGGUUAAGCAAAGUCACCUUAAUUGCUUACAAGCAAUUGCAUGGGAGCAAGGAGUACCUACAGGACACUGUGAUGGGAAAAUCGGCAGGACACCAGUGUGUCCCUUGGGAGUGCCUGCACACAUGCACGCAGCAUUGGGAAUAACCAUGAGGAGCUAGAACUGCCUGCCAUCGCAGGCCAUGAUCCUUUUGGGAUCACAGAGACAU